This is a long non-coding RNA of Seriola aureovittata, 641 nucleotides long. RefSeq lists it as uncharacterized. The record is from RefSeq and is a predicted model, not a curated record. Lineage: Eukaryota; Metazoa; Chordata; Actinopteri; Carangiformes; Carangidae. The transcript is spliced from 3 exons.
UGGCGCAUGAUUGGUUGUUUACUCCUACCGAGGAAAACGGCUCAGGUCCUCUGGAGAGACGGACCUCAUAACAUAUGAGAGAGCCAUGGAGACGCAGCAGAUGAAGGGACACAGAAAGGGGUAGUGAGAAAAACAGCAAAGUGCCAGCUGAGUGUGGGAAGAGUGGAUGAAAACGGGAGUGGGUGAGGAAGUGGGAAGACAUGCAUGAUGAGAAGAUGGUGCAAAAAAUGAGGAUGAAAGAAGAGGAAGAAAACACGAUGGGAGUGACUGGCGACCUGUCCAGGACCCCGCCCUCGCCCAAUAUCAGCUGGGAUUAGAGAGGAUGAGCGGUAUGGAUAAUGGUGGGAUGGAUAGUUUCUCAAACCUACGCCAGGAAUGGAAGGAUGCGUGCAUCAGGGGGCCUACCGGCAGAGGCCCAAGGGCCCAAAGGGGGAGAGAGGACUUCACUUGCAAAACUGUCAGAUACCAACCCCAAAGAGAAACAAAAUGGCUACAGAGAAAUUGAAAACAACUGCAAAGAGAUGCAAAGUGACAAUUAAAGGUGGAAAAAUUCACACAAAAUGACCACAAAGAGGCACAAAGCAACUUCAGAGAGAUGCAAAACGACUACAAAGAGAUAUAAAGUGACCAUAAAGAGACAA